Molecule: ribosomal RNA, 384 nt
Filed under: Pinus sp.
Lineage: Eukaryota; Viridiplantae; Streptophyta; Pinopsida; Pinales; Pinaceae
Description: partial small subunit ribosomal RNA
Rfam family: Eukaryotic small subunit ribosomal RNA
Source: RNAcentral
AGCUCCAAUAGCGUAUAUUUAAGUUGUUGCAGUUAAAAAGCUCGUAGUUGGAUCUUGGGUCGUAAAGGUCGGUCCGCCUACUCGGUGUGCACCUGCCUUUCCGUCCCUUUUGUCGGCGGCGUGCUCCUGGCCUUAAUUGGCUGGGUCGCGGUUCCGGCGCUGUUACUUUGAAAAAAUUAGAGUGCUCAAAGCAAGCUUAUGCUCUGAAUACAUUAGCAUGGAAUAACGUGAUAGGAGUCUGGUCCUAUUGUGUUGGCCUUCGGGACCGGAGUAAUGAUUAAUAGGGACUGUCGGGGGCAUUCGUAUUUCAUUGUCAGAGGUGAAAUUCUUGGAUUUAUGAAAGACGGACCACUGCGAAAGCAUUUGCCAAGGAUGUUUUCAUUA